Hordeum vulgare subsp. vulgare (domesticated barley) is the source of this 962-nucleotide long non-coding RNA. RefSeq lists it as uncharacterized. The record is from RefSeq and is a predicted model, not a curated record. The transcript has 2 exons. NCBI's taxonomy places the organism in Eukaryota, Viridiplantae, Streptophyta, Magnoliopsida, Poales, Poaceae.
GGCUCUAGUUUAAUUAUCUAGUUAAUCAGCAAGGAAAAGAGUUCUGUUAUCUUUACAUUGUAGUUCCAUUUGAUUAUUGUUGAUUGACGUUUUGGAUAUGCAGGGUCUUAUCGGAUUUCGAGAACGGGACCGUUGGUUGUGAGUCUUAUUGGAAAGGAUAAUCAAAGGGUACAAGAGGCUGCUUUGAAGCUGUCAGGUAGCUUUGAAGGACAAUUUUCCCAGGUUGACGGUUGCAAAUAGGCUGUCAAAGUCUACACACCUCCAUAUUCCUCCCACAUUCUUUCUGCUCGAAGUUCUGAAAUUGUGCAGAUCUAACUGUGCAAUGCGGUGCUCAGAUGCCUUAAACCACCCAGCUACCACUCUGAAGCCCCAGAAAUUGUUUAGGAAACAUACAAAUUUUGUAUUUAGACCCAUUUAGAAAUGAAUUGACAAGUGCAGAUGCUGAGGGCUUCGGCUAGUAACAACUUAACAUGGGUAGCUUUGCCGGCUAUUUUGACAGGGCUAAGAAACACUGUUAUUUUGUGGAAAAUUAAUUGAAGUUGAUUAUAGCACGGCUUUCUUAUUUGAUCCAAGUGUGCAAUGCUUGAUUUGUUUUUUCCUUUCCGCGGUAAUGCUUGAUUUGCUGACGUUUCUGAUGUAUCUUUUCUUUUUUGAAUCUGCCAGCCCGUUAAUUCCUUGUUUUAUGAUUGUGUCAGCGACAACUUACAGCUAAAAUAAAUAGGUAUUCCCUCUAUCCCAAUAUUAUGUACUUCUGUAAUUUUCAUGGAGCUAUGAAAAAUAAUACAAAUAUCUUCGCCUCUUAGGACUGGCUGACUUUGUUGAUGUUGGUCACACAUGUGCUGUCUAGUUGUUUAUAGAGCACCUGAUUUUAUCAUUAGAUUUAGUGGUCUCUUUUCUACAGUUCUUCCAGCAACUGGUUGUAUAUGAACUGAUACUGUGAUACUCUAUUCUCCUUUCUGUAA